GGGCCUAUAGCUCAGUUGGUUAGAGCGCCGGACUCAUAAUCCGUCGGUCGUAGGUUCAAGUCCUACUGGGCCCA
RNAcentral lists this transfer RNA (74 nucleotides) under Bacteroidota bacterium. RNAcentral's name for it is "Bacteroidetes bacterium (activated sludge metagenome) tRNA-Ile". It matches the Rfam family "tRNA". Rfam says of the family: Transfer RNA (tRNA) molecules are approximately 80 nucleotides in length. Their secondary structure includes four short double-helical elements and three loops (D, anti-codon, and T loops). Further hydrogen bonds mediate the characteristic L-shaped molecular structure. tRNAs have two regions of fundamental functional importance: the anti-codon, which is responsible for specific mRNA codon recognition, and the 3' end, to which the tRNAs corresponding amino acid is attached (by aminoacyl-tRNA synthetases). tRNAs cope with the degeneracy of the genetic code in two manners: having more than one tRNA (with a specific anti-codon) for a particular amino acid; and 'wobble' base-pairing, i.e. permitting non-standard base-pairing at the 3rd anti-codon position. RNAcentral also lists the same sequence under 1 other name. The record is from RNAcentral. Lineage: Bacteria; Pseudomonadati; Bacteroidota.